RNAcentral lists this ribosomal RNA (253 nucleotides) under uncultured bacterium. Its description in RNAcentral is "partial 16S ribosomal RNA". It matches the Rfam family "Bacterial small subunit ribosomal RNA", at positions 524 to 776 of the family's 1533-position model. The record is from RNAcentral.
UACGUAGGUGGCAAGCGUUGUCCGGAUUUAUUGGGUUUAAAGGGUGCGUAGGCGGUCCUAUAAGUCAGUUGUGAAAUACGGCAGCUUAACUGUCGAGGUGCAAUUGAUACUGCAGGACUUGAGUACAGACGAAGUAGGCGGAAUUGACGGUGUAGCGGUGAAAUGCUUAGAUAUCGUCAAGAACACCGAUAGCGAAGGCAGCUUACUAGACUGUAACUGACGCUGAUGCACGAAAGUGUGGGGAUCAAACAGG